Molecule: transfer RNA, 76 nt
Filed under: Devosia insulae DS-56
Lineage: Bacteria; Pseudomonadati; Pseudomonadota; Alphaproteobacteria; Hyphomicrobiales; Devosiaceae
Also listed under: 6 other names
Description: tRNA-Ala
Rfam family: tRNA
About the family: Transfer RNA (tRNA) molecules are approximately 80 nucleotides in length. Their secondary structure includes four short double-helical elements and three loops (D, anti-codon, and T loops).
Source: RNAcentral
GGGGCCAUAGCUCAGUUGGGAGAGCGCUUGCAUGGCAUGCAAGAGGUCGUCGGUUCGAUUCCGAUUGGCUCCACCA